AAAAAAAAGUUUUUUGUUUGGGCGUUAGAAAGAAGGGUGAAUUAGGUGAAUAACCAAUCUACAUAAAGUUAUUAAAUAUCUAACACUAUAAUAUACAUAAUUUAUUGAGUAGCACAUGUGAGGUGUGAAAAUACAACACACUCUUUCCUUCACCUUCUUCCCGGUUCUUGUCUUCUCCUCAAUCCAAGAAUUUUUUCCAGA
Molecule: small RNA, 201 nt
Filed under: Arabidopsis thaliana (thale cress)
Lineage: Eukaryota; Viridiplantae; Streptophyta; Magnoliopsida; Brassicales; Brassicaceae
Description: ATSL049290
Source: RNAcentral